Long non-coding RNA from Equus asinus (donkey), 2791 nucleotides. NCBI's taxonomy places the organism in Eukaryota, Metazoa, Chordata, Mammalia, Perissodactyla, Equidae. The record is from Ensembl.
UGAUGCUUCACACAUGCAGAGGGCACCAACAUUCCUCUGUCAAAGUUCUGAUUCACAAAGUAAAUUUUUACCAUUUUGAAGAUGUCAGUAGCUAUAGGAGUUUACAUAAGGGACCAACAAAAUCAGACUUUAAAAAAAAUAUUUCUGGUGCAUAAAUAAUAAGGGGGGGGGACAAAACAAGAGCUAACAGAAUCAAGAGAUAUCAGGGAUUCGUAGAGUUGCAUGUUGAAAGGAAAUGGCCCUACUGUGAGCUUAUUUAUGAAUACUUCAAUAUAUUGGAAGAAAUGGCAGCAAUUUGGGGGUUGGUAACAUAAUUUGACAGGAAAACAGCUUCAGUUUUCUACAUCUACCACAAGCCCCAAAUCAGCCUGACCGUUUCCAGGGCACAUCUCCUUGGCUUGGCAACAACGGUAGCAAUAACAACAGGUAAUAACGAAUGAUCAUACAUAUUGAACUGUGUUAACAUAUCAGUAGACGUUAGAGCAUUACUUUGCCAUUCUAUGUGACAAAUGUGUGUAUUAACAGGGCUCUUCAACACUCAAGUAGUCUUGACUCAAUACUCAAUAGUAAGGCAAUUUCUAAAUCUCAGUAUAUUGACAUUUUGGGCCAGAGAAUUCAUUGCUGCGGGGACUGUCCUGUGCAUUGUAGGAUGUUUAGCAGCAUCCCUGGCCUUACCCAUUAGAUGCCAGUAGCACUCCCACAGUGGUGACAACCAAAAAUGUCUCCAGACAUUGCCAAAUGUCCCUGAAGUGUCUUCCUGCUCUAAAGGAGUGACUCUAGUGGUGAGAAGUUAGAAACAUUGGCAUACUAAACUGAAGAUACUUUUGAGUGGACAGGACUUUUACUGUAUCUAAUUAGUUGAGGUAGGUAGUUCUUCACUUUGCUUAUAAAUCAAACCAACUCUGCCCCAAUUCCAGGUAACAGCUAUUGAUUGAGUACCUAUUGUAGACAGGAAACAUAACUUGCAUAGUCAGUAUACCUAGAGAUUAAGCACUUGGCUCUGGUGUCAGGCGCCUGGGUUGGAAUUCUGGCUCUAUUUGUUUGCGGUCUGACCUGGGAUAAUUUCCUUUACCUCUCUGCCAUUGUUUCUUCAUCUGUAAAAUAAAAUGACAUAGUGUAUGUGAAAUUACAUAGAAGUGUUUGAGAAUUCAAUGAAUCAAUGCACACAAGGCGCUUUGAACUGAGCCUAGGGUGUGGAAAACAGUAGAUAUUUACUGCUAUUCUUAAUCAUUACAACAGCUCUGAAACUUAGGUAACAUUAUCUAUGCUUUAUGCACUUGGAAGGGAAUAUUCAGAGAAAUCACGUGCAAAAUCACACAGCUGCUAAGUCACUUGGCUGGCAAGAAGAGAAGUCACGAAUCAAACUCUAAGACGACUGUUUCUCCCUACAGCCAGGCCCGAGUGGAAGACAGGCUAAACCCAGGUUAAACCUGGGAGGAAGAGUUCUCUUUCAGGGAUAAAAACUGGAACUUGUCCCCUUGGCUUGUUGCGUUCGCAGCGAGUAAUGGAAAGACUCACUGAACAGGAGCCGGAAAAACCGCUUUACCGCUGACCAGCUGUGAGAACUUGGGCGAGUCUCUCGAACAUCCUGAAGCUGUUUACUCAUCUGCAAAAUGGACGCAAAAACACCUGCUCUGCGUUCUUCACGGGCGGUGGUCAGAGUGAUGUGAGAAAAAGCAUGCAGCAGAGCACUGGAAAACUAUAACGUGCCCAACCAAUGUUGAGGUUGGGAAGGUAACGCUCUCGGCAGGUUUGUGCUGGCGGGGAGGCACGCCUACGACCUCUCCUUUCCUGGGCCGUGUCCAGCAGCUCCACCAAAGCGUGUACUGCUGGGGCCCCGCCGGGGGCGCCCGGCCUGGGCUGCAGCAUAGGAACCGGGAGGCCCCGGGGGUGCGCAGCGGGCAGAGGUUGGGCCUUCUCCCGCCUCGUCCAGGGUGAGCAAUCUGGGAGGUGACCCCAACAUGGAUGCAGCAGCUGCUGCUUAUCUGUAGUUAGUCAGCGACCCAGACAGAUGAGGUGUCCGUGGCGACCUUCCUGCCUCACCCUAACCUUGGAGGAGGCACGAGAGAUCGAGAGAUCGUCUAGGCACCGCCACUGAGGGGGCGGAGGAAAAAACGCCGGAGCUCUGGGGGAUCAGGUCAGGGAAAUUUUGAGCAUUUUUCUAGGCUGGGAGAAGGAUCCAUCCAGUGGCUAGAGAUUGAAGACAGGAAGAGAAAGAAGGACUGAGUCUGCUCUCAAGAGGCCUCAUUCCCAUGGGAGAUGGAAAGACAAUGGUCCUGCUGGGUUGAUGGACUGAAGAAAGAACAAGGCUUCACUUUACCUUCCCAGCUUCCUUAUCGGCUUCCCAGGAAUGACGCACAUUCUCUGUCUCAUCCUCCUCAAAAGGAGAAGCCCUUUUUCAUAUAGAAGAAGAAAAAAGAUAAAUUACUGAUUUUUAUUUAACUAUUUCUAUCAAAAUUAAAUAUGCACAUAGUUUAAAGAAUCGAAUGGUUCUACAUUACUAAAUAGCAGCCCCCUGCCCCCACGCCAUUUCUCACUCCUCAGAGGAGAUCACUUCCAAUGCUCUAACUAAUCCUUUUUGUUCUUUUGGAAUCACUGUAUCUCUAAACAGCGACUUCCUAAUUUUAUCUAAUCCCUUUCUACUGUGGAAAAUGGGGAUUUAGCUUUCACCCCUUCCGUUACCACACACAUACAUUUCCUGGGCUUAUAUACCUAUAUCAUUAUUAGAUUAAUACUCAGUGUUUACAUUAUUUUGACCAAAUAAAUACUAUUGACACCUGUUUUGUAUAAU